GAUCAUGGCUCAGGACGAACGCUAGCUACAGGCUUAACACAUGCAAGUCGAGGGGAAACGACAUCGAAAGCUUGCUUUUGAUGGGCGUCGACCGGCGCACGGGUGAGUAACGCGUAUCCAACCUGCCCACCACUUGGGGAUAACCUUGCGAAAGUAAGACUAAUACCCAAUGAUAUCCCACGAAGGCAUCCGAAUGGGAUUAAAGAUUUAUCGGUGAUGGAUGGGGAUGCGUCUGAUUAGCUUGUUGGCGGGGUAACGGCCCACCAAGGCAACGAUCAGUAGGGGUUCUGAGAGGAAGGUCCCCCACAUUGGAACUGAGACACGGUCCAAACUCCUACGGGAGGCAGCAGUGAGGAAUAUUGGUCAAUGGGCGAGAGCCUGAACCAGCCAAGUAGCGUGCAGGAUGACGGCCCUAUGGGUUGUAAACUGCUUUUAUAAGGGAAUAAAGUGAGUCUCGUGAGACUUUUUGCAUGUACCUUAUGAAUAAGGACCGGCUAAUUCCGUG
This 505-nucleotide ribosomal RNA is filed under the name uncultured bacterium. Its description in RNAcentral is "bacterial SSU rRNA". It matches the Rfam family "Bacterial small subunit ribosomal RNA", at positions 15 to 507 of the family's 1533-position model. The record is from RNAcentral.